AACAAGUUUGGAACAAUCUGGGAACAACUUGUAAAAAGCUUGAUGGCAUUAUCAGACGUGUUACAAGAUUGUUCUAACAAGUCUAAUACAGUCAUGAUAUAACAAGUAUGUUGCAACUUGUAACAAUAUUGCUAUAUCAUGACUGUAUCGGAGUUGUUGGAACAACCUUGCAACAAGUCUGAUAAUAUUAACAAGGUUGUUACAAGUUGUUAGCAGCUUGUUCCAAACCUGUU
Non-coding RNA from Paramuricea clavata, 233 nucleotides. The record is from the annotation of a GenBank genome assembly. NCBI's taxonomy places the organism in Eukaryota, Metazoa, Cnidaria, Anthozoa, Malacalcyonacea, Plexauridae.